RNAcentral lists this long non-coding RNA (249 nucleotides) under Ananas comosus (pineapple). Its description in RNAcentral is "long non-coding RNA (ACOM_LNC040424)". Lineage: Eukaryota; Viridiplantae; Streptophyta; Magnoliopsida; Poales; Bromeliaceae. The record is from RNAcentral.
UUUAUCAUCUUUUGUAUAUGAUGGUAAAUGAUGUAAAGAAAAGAAUGUAAUGUGUAUUUUGGGGUAAAUGUGUGUAAGAAAGAAAUGACGAAAUGAAAUGUAAGGAAUUCGAAAAUGAACAAGAUGAAUGCAAUGUAUAUGAUAAAAAAUGAAUCAUAGUACAAGUGAAUGUUUAGUUUUCUUUUUCUUUCACUAAUGGCUAUUGCUUACCCUCGUGUAAGCCGUUUGUGUAUGUUUCCGCUAGUGCUU